CCCUUAGAUGUUCUGGGCCGCACGCGCGCUACACUGAUGCAUUCAACGAGUUUCUUCCUGGUCCGAGAGGAAUGGGUAACCUUUUGAAAGUGCAUCGUGAUAGGGAUAGACUAUUGCAAUUAUUGGUCUUCAACGAGGAAUUCCUAGUAGACGUAGUUCAUCAGACUGCAUCGAUUACGUCCCUGCCCUUUGUACACACCGCCCGUCGCUCCUACCGAUUGAAUGCUCAGGUGAACCAUUCGGACUUUCAUCAUGCUGGUUUCCAGUUUUGAUGAAGGAAAGUCUUGCGAACCUUAUCAUUUAGAGGAAGGAGAAGUCGUAACA
RNAcentral lists this ribosomal RNA (324 nucleotides) under uncultured eukaryote. Its description in RNAcentral is "partial 18S ribosomal RNA". It matches the Rfam family "Eukaryotic small subunit ribosomal RNA", at positions 1470 to 1796 of the family's 1831-position model. The record is from RNAcentral.